RNAcentral lists this ribosomal RNA (468 nucleotides) under uncultured bacterium. RNAcentral describes it as "partial 16S ribosomal RNA". It matches the Rfam family "Bacterial small subunit ribosomal RNA", at positions 28 to 507 of the family's 1533-position model. The record is from RNAcentral.
GACGAACGCUGGCGGCGUGCUUAACACAUGCAAGUCGAACGGACAGGCCCUGCUCUUGUGGCGUGCUCGAGUGGCGAACGGGUGAGUAAAACGUGAGUAACCUGCCCUUAUCUUUCGGAUAACUUCAGGAAACUGCGGCUCUAACCGGAUAGGAGCUCCUGCUGCAUGGGGUGGGUUGGAAAGUUACGGCUGUUGGGGAUGGACUCGCGGCUUAUCAGCUUCUUUGUGGGGUAGUGGCUUACCAAGGCUUUGACGGGUAGCCGGCCUGAGAGGGUGACCGGCCACAAUGGGACUAAGAGAGGGACCAGAAGCGUACGGGAGGCAGCAGUGGGGAGUAUGGCACAAUAGGCGGAAGCCUGAGGCGGCAACGCCGCGUGCGGGAUGACGUCCUACGGGUUGUAAACCGCUGUCGCAUGUGACGAAGCGUGAGUGACGGUAAUGGGUAAGAAAGCACCGGCUAACUACGUG